This 694-nucleotide long non-coding RNA is filed under the name Homo sapiens (human). Its description in RNAcentral is "HSALNT0351971". The record is from RNAcentral. Lineage: Eukaryota; Metazoa; Chordata; Mammalia; Primates; Hominidae.
GCGGAGCGCCCGGCACACGCCGACACUUCAGCACCAGUGGCGGUGGCCACCACUGUGGGCGGAGAUGGCUGCGACGCGUGCGCAGGUAAAGUCUAUGCGCGCCUUGCCUCCCACCGGCGCCUUCCCCGGCCUCUGGUUUUUGUCCCCGCCAGCGGCUCCGACUCCAUCGCGUCCUCUUCCAGUCUAGUGCUUUUUUCCAGAUCUCGAUCCCAAACUCCCUCCUGCCAGAAUCUGGACCCGAAUCCACCCAUUGCCCGUUUUCCGCUGCCGCUGGAGAGAAUCUCUGAGGUCCCCAGGAGAGCCUGCCUGCACGGAAGAGACGCCUCCUCGGGAAAUUUGUGCACAGAGAUAACACAGGGGAUAUGCCAUAUGAAGAUGAAGGCAGAAUUCUACAAGCCCAGGGAUGCCAAAGAUUGCCAGCAAACCACCAGAAGCUAGGAGAGAAGUGUGGAUUAGAUUCUUCCUCACAGCCCUCAGAAGGAUCCAGCCCUGCCAAGAACUUGAUCUCAGACUUCUAGUCUCCAGAACUGUGAGACAGUGCAUUUUGUUUUGUAAGUCAGCCAUAUGGUUUGUGGCACUUUUUUAUGGCAGCCCUAGGAGAUGAAGACAAUAUGCAACAUGGUAUGUCCAUUAUAGGACACUGUGGGCCAUAAAUGUGUUCUUUGGCCUGAAGAAAUAAAACUUGGUGGUCCAA